UGGGGAAUAUUGCCCAAUGGGCGAAAGCCUGAUGCAGCGACGCCGCGUGAGGGAUGAAGGCCUUCGGGUUGUAAACCUCUUUCAGCAGGGAAGAAGCGCAAGUGACGGUACCUGCAGAAGAAGCGCCGGCUAACUACGUGCCAGCAGCCGCGGUAAUACGUCGGGCGCAAGCGUUGUCCGGAAUUAUUGGGCGUAAAGAGCUCGUAGGCGGUUUGUCGCGUCUGGUGUGAAACCUCGAGGCUCAACCUCGAGCUUGCAUCGGGUACGGGCAGACUAGAGUGCGGUAGGGGAGACUGGAAUUCCGGGUGUAGCGGUGGAAUGCGCAGAUAUCAGGAGGAACACCGAUGGCGAAGGCAGGUCUCUGGGCCGCAACUGACGCUGAGGAGCGAAAGCAUGGGGAGCGAACA
Molecule: ribosomal RNA, 407 nt
Filed under: uncultured Cellulosimicrobium sp.
Lineage: Bacteria; Bacillati; Actinomycetota; Actinomycetes; Micrococcales; Promicromonosporaceae
Description: bacterial SSU rRNA
Rfam family: Bacterial small subunit ribosomal RNA
Source: RNAcentral